CGGGUGAGUAACACGUAUCCAACCUGCCGUCUACUCUUGGACAGCCUUCUGAAAGGAAGAUUAAUACAAGAUGGCAUCAUGAGUCCGCAUGUUCACAUGAUUAAAGGUAUUCCGGUAGACGAUGGGGAUGCGUUCCAUUAGAUAGUAGGCGGGGUAACGGCCCACCUAGUCUUCGAUGGAUAGGGGUUCUGAGAGGAAGGUCCCCCACAUUGGAACUGAGAUACGGCCCAG
This 231-nucleotide ribosomal RNA is filed under the name uncultured bacterium. RNAcentral's name for it is "partial 16S ribosomal RNA". It matches the Rfam family "Bacterial small subunit ribosomal RNA", at positions 103 to 334 of the family's 1533-position model. The record is from RNAcentral.